AGUGAACGCUGGCGGUAGGCCUAACACAUGCAAGUCGAACGGCAGCACAGUAAGAGCUUGCUCUUACGGGUGGCGAGUGGCGGACGGGUGAGGAAUACAUCGGAAUCUACUUUUUCGUGGGGGAUAACGUAGGGAAACUUACGCUAAUACCGCAUACGACCUACGGGUGAAAGCAGGGGAUCUUCUGACCUUGCGCGAUUGAAUGAGCCGAUGUCGGAUUAGCUAGUUGGCGGGGUAAAGGCCCACCAAGGCGACGAUCCGUAGCUGGUCUGAGAGGAUGAUCAGCCACACUGGAACUGGGACACGGUCCAGACUCCUACGGGAGGCCGCAGUGGGGAAUAUUGGGCAAUGGGCGCAAGCCUGGUCCAGCCAUACCGCGUGGGUGAAGAAGGCCUUCGGGUUGUAAAGCCCUUUUGUUGGGAAAGAAAAGCAGCAGGUUAAUACCCCGCUGUUCUGACGGUACCCAAAGAAUAAGCACCGGCUAACUUCGUG
This 492-nucleotide ribosomal RNA is filed under the name uncultured bacterium. RNAcentral's name for it is "partial 16S ribosomal RNA". It matches the Rfam family "Bacterial small subunit ribosomal RNA", at positions 29 to 507 of the family's 1533-position model. The record is from RNAcentral.